RNAcentral lists this ribosomal RNA (253 nucleotides) under uncultured bacterium. RNAcentral describes it as "partial 16S ribosomal RNA". It matches the Rfam family "Bacterial small subunit ribosomal RNA", at positions 524 to 776 of the family's 1533-position model. The record is from RNAcentral.
GACGAAGGGGGCUAGCGUUGUUCGGAAUUACUGGGCGUAAAGCGAGUGUAGGUGGUUGUCCAAGUUGGAUGUGAAAGCCUUGAGCUCAACUCAAGAAAUGCAUUCAGGACUGGGCGGCUAGAGGACCGGAGAGGAUAGUGGAAUUCCCAGUGUAGUGGUGAAAUACGUAGAGAUCGGAAGGAACAUCAGUGGCGAAGGCGACUGUCUGGACAGAUACUGACGCUGAGGCGCGAAAGCGUGGGGAGCAAACAGG